Long non-coding RNA from Oryzias sinensis (Chinese medaka), 1822 nucleotides. NCBI's taxonomy places the organism in Eukaryota, Metazoa, Chordata, Actinopteri, Beloniformes, Adrianichthyidae. The record is from Ensembl.
UUUUUACUUUUUGGAAUUAAAUACAAUCCUCUUCCCUAACUUUCCGCUGCAGUAAAAACCCAGAGGACGGUGUCGCCGCAGCAGCAGGUGGGUUUCAAACCCUUGGCCGCUGCCUCGUCUCUGACCGUUGGAGAACGGCUGUCUGAACUGCUGCAUCCAACGAGAUUCCGUUGUCUCAGUCGGAACGCCGUCAUGUCAUCGAAAUUUUCCCGUCUCCACACUCGUCUGCUGUUAAUCACUGGUCUGCCUGAGUACGCGGACGGCCGCUACACCGAGGAGGACGUGGCCCAACUGCUCUGCCCGUUCGGGUUCAAACUCUCCAGCCGAGGCCUCUACGUCCUUCCUCAGGCGUGUCUGGCUUUCGCGGUCAUGCCGUGUACCGACAGCGUCAGGAGCAUCAUCACGUUUUCUAACAAGGAGGACUUGAUGCUCAAAGGUUCCCGCCUUGGUUUGCACGCGGUGAUCAGCAGAAUUUCAACCACACCUUUUGGGUUUUAUAAAUCCCUCAUGAAAAAGGUUCAUGUGAGAGUGAAAGACGACGGUUCGAGGACCGUUUUCGUCCAGAACAUCUCACCCGGCGAGGCCAGAGAGCUCAGGGAAACGCUGACGGCCAUCGGUUCCCUGAAGAACUUCCUGCCUCUGCUCAACAAGGUGUUGGUGGAGUUUGAAUCCAUGAGUGGCGCCGAUCGUCUGGGCGUCUGGUUCAGCCUCCUGAAUCCGUCUCCAGUUUACAGCAUCUACAGGAUGAAGAUCCCACAGAGCAGCAGGACGCCGGCCCCACCAGAACGGGCGGUGAACGCUUUGGCGGGACCAGUGGUCCCAGACGCAAGCGGAGACGUCCCACAUGGCAGUACGCCACCCUUUUGGGUCACCAUGACGACUAACCCCUUUAUUUUCCCAACCAACUGGCCUUGGUUCAUUAUUCCAGAUUACCUGACGGUGGAAGGGAUGAGGGACGUUGAGAACGCUCCGUCUCCCCGUUUCCCCUCCUCCACCGUCCUGAUGACGGGUUUGCCUCGAGGGAACUUCACGCACCAGGACGUCGCCAAGCUGGUUUGGCCCCAUCUCCCCCAACGGACCCUUCGCUCUUUACUCUACGACGUGACGGUCCUCCCCCUGCAGAGACGGGCUUUCGUGCAUUUCAACGACUGGGACUCGUGCUGCCGGUUUCUUCGGAGCCACACCUCGGAGCGGGUUUCCGUCAGAGGCUGCGUCCUCAGCGUUCACUUGGUCUUGGAGGACAUGCAGCCUGCAUAUAGUGAGGAGGUCAUGUACCAAACUCUAAUGAAGUGGAGCAGCUCCCCCGUUCCAGAGCUGGAGUCUCUGGAGGAGCGGCUGCUCUGCGUGGAGAUCUCGGAGGCGUCGGUGGGCAUCGUCAUGAUGGUCAUGGAGGCCGUGGCAGCAGUGGCGCCCUUUGAAGGUUUCCUGCCUCUGGCCAACAGGAUCUGCAUCGAAUUAUCUGAACCCACAGAUGUAACCAGAGUGGUGCAGAAAAUCUCAGCAAACAUUUCAUCCAGGACUCAUAUUUGGAACAAAGUAAAGAGCGUCUCCUGCUUGAACAUCUUUAAAGAGCGUUUGCAGAGUUUAUGGAGCGAGCCCAUUGAUAUGGAGCUGAACGCCAGCAGAACUGCAGAUCCAAAUGACUCUGCACCAGAAAAAGACAGCAGAGCUGUGCAGAUGGAGGAGCGAGCGGCAGGAAGCUCGGCUGAAGCUGAGGAUGAAGUCGGAAGAGUGGAGAUGAAGAAGACCGAAGAAGGUGAGGGGUUCUGAUGAAUGUGAAUCCUUAACUAAUUGAAUGGGAACGUGCUGUGGAUAAAAAAAA